GUGUCAACCGGCCCGCCCGUCCCCUCCUUCUGGAUUCCCGUUCCUGCUAUUGAGUUAGUGGGGACGUCACAGGGGGCUCAUCGUCGUCGUGCAAACGGCGGCGGUGGGUCCCUGGGGCCCAGAUCGUUUACCGUGAAAAAAUUAGAGUGUUCAAAGCAGGCAGAUCCAAUUUUCUGCCACCGAAUACAUUAGCAUGGGAUAAUGGAAUAGGACCCUGUCCUCCUAUUUUCAGUUGGUUUUGGCAGCGCGAGGACUAGGGUAAUGAUUAAUAGGGAUAGUUGGGGGCAUUAAUAUUUAAUUGUCAGAGGUGAAAUUCUUGGAUUUAUGAAAGAUUAACUUCUGCGAAAGCAUCUGCCAAGGAUGUUUUCAUUAAUCAAGAACGAAAGUUAGGGGAUCGAAGACGAUCAGAUACCGUCGUAGUCUUAACCAUAAACGAUGCCGACCAGCGAUUAGGAGACGUUGAAUACAAAACACCACCAUCGGUGCGGUCGUCCUUGGCGUCGGUCUUUCGGGGCCGGCGCGGGGACGGCUUAGCCCGGUGGCACCGGUGAAUGACUCCCCUAGCAGCUUGUGAGAAAUCAUAAGUCUUUGGGUUCCGGGGGGAGUAUGGUCG
RNAcentral lists this ribosomal RNA (613 nucleotides) under Acanthamoeba sp. V1 YH-2010. Its description in RNAcentral is "SSU rRNA". It matches the Rfam family "Eukaryotic small subunit ribosomal RNA", at positions 670 to 1131 of the family's 1831-position model. The record is from RNAcentral. Lineage: Eukaryota; Discosea; Longamoebia; Acanthamoebidae.